AGAAUCAACGCUGGCGGCGUGCCUAACACAUGCAAGUCGAACGAGAAAGUGGAGCAAUCCAUGAGUACAGUGGCGACCGGGUGAGUAACACGUGACUACCUACCCUUGAGUGGGGGAUAACCUACGGGAAACCGAGGCUAAUACCGCAUAAUAUCGAGAGAUCAAAGGAGUAAUCCGCUUUGGAGGGGGUCGCGGCUGAUUAGCUAGUUGGUAGGUAAUGGCCUACAAAGGCGAAGAUCGGUA
RNAcentral lists this ribosomal RNA (243 nucleotides) under uncultured bacterium. Its description in RNAcentral is "partial small subunit ribosomal RNA". It matches the Rfam family "Bacterial small subunit ribosomal RNA", at positions 26 to 285 of the family's 1533-position model. The record is from RNAcentral.